CCCCCCUCAAGAUGAGAUAUCCCCUCCAUAAGGAGAUAAGAUCCCUUAAAGACGAUAAGGUAGAUAGGUUCAAGGUGUAAGUGUGGUAACACACUCAGCUGAUGAAUACUAAUAGAUCGAAGGUUUAUUCU
This 131-nucleotide ribosomal RNA is filed under the name Pseudobutyrivibrio sp. ACV-2. Its description in RNAcentral is "23S rRNA. Bacterial LSU". It matches the Rfam family "Bacterial large subunit ribosomal RNA", at positions 2793 to 2925 of the family's 2925-position model. The record is from RNAcentral. Lineage: Bacteria; Bacillati; Bacillota; Clostridia; Lachnospirales; Lachnospiraceae.